Molecule: ribosomal RNA, 444 nt
Filed under: Mesodinium pulex
Lineage: Eukaryota; Ciliophora; Litostomatea; Cyclotrichida; Mesodiniidae
Description: partial Bacterial small subunit ribosomal RNA
Rfam family: Bacterial small subunit ribosomal RNA
Source: RNAcentral
GUUUGAUCCUGGCUCAGAACGAACGCUGGCGGCAGGCUUAACACAUGCAAGUCGAACGAUAUAGUGGCAGACGGGUGAGUAACGCGUGGAAACGUGCCUUUCACUACGGAAUAGCUUUUGGAAACGAAAGGUAAUACCGUAUACGCCCUCCGGGGGAAAGAUUUAUCGGUGAAAGAUCGGUCCGCGUUAGAUUAGCUAGUUGGUGAGGUAACGGCUCACCAAGGCUACGAUCUAUAGCUGGUCUGAGAGGAUGAUCAGCCACACUGGGACUGAGACACGGCCCAGACUCCUACGGGAGGCAGCAGUGGGGAAUAUUGCACAAUGGGCGCAAGCCUGAUGCAGCCAUGCCGCGUGAAUGAUGAAGGCCUUAGGGUUGUAAAAUUCUUUCGCCAAGGAUGAUAAUGACAGUACUUGGUAAAGAAGCCCCGGCUAACUUCGUGCCAG